GCGGUGCUAUACAUGCAAGUCGAGCGGACAGAAGGGAGCUUGCUCCCGGAUGUUAGCGGCGGACGGGUGAGUAACACGUGGGUAACCUGCCUGUAAGACUGGGAUAACUCCGGGAAACCGGAGCUAAUACCGGAUAGUUCCUUGAACCGCAUGGUUCAAGGAUGAAAGACGGUUUCGGCUGUCACUUACAGAUGGACCCGCGGCGCAUUAGCUAGUUGGUGAGGUAACGGYUCACCAAGGCGACGAUGCGUAGCCGACCUGAGAGGGURAUYGGCCMCMCUGGGACUGAGMCACGGCCCAGACUCCUACGGGAGGCAGCAGUAGGGAAUCUUCCGCAAUGGACGAAAKUCUGACGGAGCAACGCCGCGUGAGUGAUGAAGGUUUUCGGAUCGUAAAGCUCUGUUGUUAGGGAAGAACAAGUGCAAGAGUAACUGCUUGCACCUUGACGGUACCUAACCAGAAAGCCACGGCUAACUACGUGCCAGCAGCCGCGGUAAUACGUAGGUGGCAAGCGUUGUCCGGAAUUAUUGGGCGUAAAGGGCUCGCAGGCGGUUUCUUAAGUCUGAUGUGAAAGCCCCCGGCUCAACCGGGGAGGGUCAUUGGAAACUGGGAAACUUGAGUGCAGAAGAGGAGAGUGGAAUUCCACGUGUAGCGGUGAAAUGCGUAGAGAUGUGGAGGAACACCAGUGGCGAAGGCGACUCUCUGGUCUGUAACUGACGCUGAGGAGCGAAAGCGUGGGGAGCGAACAGGAUUAGAUACCCUGGUAGUCCACGCCGUAAACGAUGAGUGCUAAGUGUUAGGGGGUUUCCGCCCCUUAGUGCUGCAGCUAACGCAUUAAGCACUCCGCCUGGGGAGUACGGUCGCAAGACUGAAACUCAAAGGAAUUGACGGGGGCCCGCACAAGCGGUGGAGCAUGUGGUUUAAUUCGAAGCAACGCGAAGAACCUUACCAGGUCUUGACAUCCUCUGACAACCCUAGAGAUAGGGCUUUCCCUUCGGGGACAGAGUGACAGGUGGUGCAUGGUUGUCGUCAGCUCGUGUCGUGAGAUGUUGGGUUAAGUCCCGCAACGAGCGCAACCCUUGAUCUUAGUUGCCAGCAUUCAGUUGGGCACUCUAAGGUGACUGCCGGUGACAAACCGGAGGAAGGUGGGGAUGACKYCAAAUCAUCAUGCCCCUUAUGACYKGGGCUAYACMCSUGCUACAAUGGACAGAACAAAGGGCUGCGAGACCGCMARGUUUAGCCAAUCCCAMAAAUYUGUUCYCARUUCGGAUCGCAGUCUGCAMCUCGACYSCGKGAARCUGGAAYCGCUAGUAAUCGCGGAUCAGCAUGCCGCGGUGAAUACGUUCCCGGGCCUUGUACACACCGCCCGUCACACCACGAGAGUUUGCAACACCCGAAGUCGGUGAGGUAACCUUUAUGGAGCCAGCCGCCGAAGUGGCAAAGGG
Molecule: ribosomal RNA, 1445 nt
Filed under: Bacillus sp. (in: firmicutes)
Lineage: Bacteria; Bacillati; Bacillota; Bacilli; Caryophanales; Bacillaceae
Description: bacterial SSU rRNA
Source: RNAcentral